Molecule: ribosomal RNA, 764 nt
Filed under: uncultured Streptococcus sp.
Lineage: Bacteria; Bacillati; Bacillota; Bacilli; Lactobacillales; Streptococcaceae
Description: bacterial SSU rRNA
Rfam family: Bacterial small subunit ribosomal RNA
Source: RNAcentral
GACGAACGCUGGCGGCGUGCCUAAUACAUGCAAGUAGAACGCUGAAGGAGGAGCUUGCUUCUCUGGAUGAGUUGCGAACGGGUGAGUAACGCGUAGGUAACCUGCCUGGUAGCGGGGGAUAACUAUUGGAAACGAUAGCUAAUACCGCAUAAGAGUAGAUGUUGCAUGACAUUUGCUUAAAAGGUGCAAUUGCAUCACUACCAGAUGGACCUGCGUUGUAUUAGCUAGUUGGUGGGGUAACGGCUCACCAAGGCGACGAUACAUAGCCGACCUGAGAGGGUGAUCGGCCACACUGGGACUGAGACACGGCCCAGACUCCUACGGGAGGCAGCAGUAGGGAAUCUUCGGCAACGGACGGAAGUCUGACCGAGCAACGCCGCGUGAGUGAAGAAGGUUUUCGGAUCGUAAAGCUCUGUUGUAAGAGAAGAACGAGUGUGAGAGUGGAAAGUUCACACUGUGACGGUAUCUUACCAGAAAGGGACGGCUAACUACGUGCCAGCAGCCGCGGUAAUACGUAGGUGGCAAGCGUUAUCCGGAUUUAUUGGGCGUAAAGAGAGUGCAGGCGGUUUUCUAAGUCUGAUGUGAAAGCCUUCGGCUUAACCGGAGAAGUGCAUCGGAAACUGGAUAACUUGAGUGCAGAAGAGGGUAGUGGAACUCCAUGUGUAGCGGUGGAAUGCGUAGAUAUAUGGAAGAACACCAGUGGCGAAGGCGGCUACCUGGUCUGCAACUGACGCUGAGACUCGAAAGCAUGGGUAGCGAACAGG